Molecule: long non-coding RNA, 3368 nt
Organism: Pelobates fuscus (common spadefoot toad)
Lineage: Eukaryota; Metazoa; Chordata; Amphibia; Anura; Pelobatidae
Exons: 2
Source: RefSeq, a predicted model, not a curated record
CUGGCCUCCCUCGAACAUACAUUACAGAGCUCACAGCUAGGUCGGGCCUCCCCGUACAUACAUUAGAGCUCACAGCUAGGCUGGCCUCCCUCGAACGUACAUUACAGAGCUCACAGCUAGGCUGGCCUCCCUCAAGCAUACAUUACAGAGCUCACAGCUUGGUCGGACUUGCCUCCUGCAUAGAUAUGUGUUUUAUUACCAGAUUCUGUCUAUAGGAAGUUGUGUAUAGACACCAUACUUGAUUGAUUGAAGACUGCCACAGUGAACAGGCCCUGUACCUGGCUUUGGAAAGAAAGAUAUUUUAUUUAUUUUUCUUAGUUUGAUUUUACCCUGAGCAUUUUGUUGUUUGUAAUUUUGUGAAAGGGGUGAUGGUUUUCAGGUGUACUCAUUGUAAAACCGGUUGACUGAUCAGUUAAAACUAUGAGAAAGCGGUCUGCCAACUUCCUUUACUCUCAGUCAAUCUUCACGGAAUGGGGAAUAGUUUGGUAAUUAGCAAUACUUCCAUUGUCUAUAAUCCACUAGAUAAAUUGCAUUAUAAUUGAUAUGCAGGAUAUAGCCAAAGCAGACUGUUGACUGGUAAAGCGCUGACUAGCUUAACCAUCCUUUACUAAUUCAAGCCAUGAACUAGCCAGACACACAAUGCUGAUCACACUAAGGUUUCAAAUAUUAUAACAACUGGAAAUAUUUCCCAAGUUAUCGGUGCUUUCAGUUUAAUUAUUGUGACCUGAAAUUUGAGAUUUACUUUGAAUUCCGAACAGUUGACAUUUUAGUGAAUAAUAUUGCACUAAACCUGUGGGGGGCGCACACAGGGCUCGUGUCUCGGGAAUGGACGUAUUUAAUAACCCAAAUCCCAGCCGACGCACACUUUGUCUAUAUAUCUGCGUGGCUGCUGAACGAUUGGUGUGUUUGCAUUUCUUGAUUUUACUAAAUUAAAUUAUAUAAGCAAACCAAAUCAAAGUGAUUUUAAUAGCAGUGAGACAGACUAAUCAUUUAGCAACACACAGGCAGCAGGAAUCUCACCUCAUGGGGUUUUAUUUUUAAGGAUUUGAUCUUUUGAUAGCAAGAACAAUCCCCUGGCUUUAAGCAUUAUUGUGUUAUUUAAGGUUGCAGCUUUCAUUAAACUCUGUUUGUUUUACCAGCAGCAGAGCACCAGCCAUGUAUUGAGCAGAUAGCGUGGAGAGGGACAAAUUCACCAUCCAAAAGCACAGCUUUUAUAAGCUGAGAAGAUUGACCCAAUCUUAAUUUAUUGCCAUGGAAACCUGGCUUAAUCUGUAAUAAUUCCUCUACAGUGGUUUAUAAACUAUGGCCUGCUUUAUUUUAUGACAUUUAAGUCCUCUAAAACCAGCAGAAUUAAAAACAAAUAAUACAAUUUGCAGCCCAGUUACUCAAGUAGUAUGUGUCCAAACUCUGGGGAAACGGUACCCAAGGGAAGACACACACACACAUUUUGAAGGGACGGUACCCAAGGCAAGACACACACACAUGCACUCUGGAAGGAAUGUACCCACGGCAAGACACACACCCUCUGGAGGGCUGGUACCUGAGACGAACACACUGUGGACAGACCGUACCCAGUACCCAAGGCAAGAUACACAGAAUUCUAUAAACACAAUAAGAAUGAUUAGGGAAGGGCAUUUAAUGAGUCUGUUUUCUACAAUCAUCCUACUUUUACAGAAAUCAGAUUAACCGAUCUCCCGUCGUCUCCUGGACCCUGAAGGGCAAUGAAUUUACCUCCAUCACAGCGCAUGAAAUCUCACAUAUUGGAGAGCUUUUCAUAAACUACCCUACAGUUACAGUCAAGAAAAACGCUCUGGGUCUGGCAGUGCCAUUAUGACCAAUUGUAAGGUGGGAAAAACUUGAAGAUCAGAUUGACCUUUGUUUUACAAUCGUUCGAGUCAUCUUUUCUCAGUCCCCUCACAUGGUAACGGACAGCAAAUCUUAAAGGGACAUGACAGGCCUCCAGACCGUUUCAGCUCAUUGAAGUGGUCUUGGUGCAGUGUCCCUGUCUCCCUUAGUCCUGCAAUGUAAAACAUUGCAUUUUUAGAGAAACGGCAGCGUUUUACAUAGCAGUACUAAGACUGCCUCUAGUGGCGGUCUACCAGGCAGCCACUAGAGGCGCUUCUUGGAGUUUCAAAGAGUUUGACUCUGUGAAAUGCCACUAGAAAACCUCACUCUCUGCAUUAGGACAUCCAGCAUCAAGAUAAAACUUGUAGGAAAGCAUUGAGUGGCGAUGGACAUUGGUGCUGGAAUCGGGUAAGUGAAUAAUAGCUUAUUUAAUCUUUCUUAAUUUGGGUACUAAAGAGUAUCUUCAUUUGCACACCCACUCCCCCCCGAAAAGUCUUCUGAUUUUGAGUUUUGCAUUUCAGUAACAUUCAUCCACCUCUUUACAUGGUUUUUGGGUCAAGACACAAUGCAGCGUUUCAACAAGCUAUUAUGGAAUACUAAAUGUUUUAUUUAUAAAUCUCUUUAUUUUUUAUACCAGUUUAUUCACUCCUAUAUAAAAAUACAAUGCUCAAAAAUCCUGUUAAGGUAUAGAAACAAGACUUAUAUCAUUUUUUUAUUUUUAAAGAAGAUAUAUUGCCAGAGCAUUCAUAUUUUUGAGAUUCUCUAUAUAUAAAUGUAUCACACUGUGAAGUCUAGUUGGUCUAAACUUGUUUAUUUUUUUCCAGGUCCCAGUUGGGUAAUCUCUACCCUUGACCUUUGAGUUUGGGUUAGGGUGAGAUUUAAUAAAAAUCAAUUGUGAAAAACCUGUUUCUGGGUCUGGAAAUGUUUGGGAGAAAGUACGAUGAGAGUGGUGGACACAAUCCAUCCGUAUAAUUUAUUAUUUAAAUGUUUCGAACAGAGCUGUGGGCAAGGUUAAUCUAUGAGAGACAGCUAGCAGUUUGGGAUUGCACAGUUCCGCCAUUCUCUUUGUAACUGUGCAGCAAUAUAGGUGUACAUUGCACUCCUGAUGCACCCCAAUAUCAUGUGUAUCUUGUACCUGUCCUCAUAAUGUAUUGUCUGUCUUAAUAUUUAUGUACUGGUUAUGUAAUGUAGCACACUGCCCCCUGCUGGAAACCUCACAAUCUGCCUUAUAGUGUCAUGUGUGCAAAAUCUGGGUAAGAAAUGUAAAUGAAUGAAUUAUACAUGUAUUCAUAUAGAUAUGUUGGUAAUUAUGAAUUAUAUAUGCAUAACAGAGAGCUGGAUCCACUGUAUAUUAAAGCAAUAUUUAAAGUGUAUAAAGCUAAUGAAUUUCUAUAUUGAGUGUUUUUAUAGAGGGGGAUGAUAGGCUUGCUAUUGUUCAGAUUCAUCACGACAUGGGGUCAGCGGAUAUAUAUUGCAUCUGUACUACAACGGAGGGGGUUUAUUAAACAUGAUUGUCGUUCUAA